GGGUCACAUUUCAAUUUGAGAUUUGGAGGGGACAAAUAUUCAAACUAUAUUAAGUAGUAUGGACUCAAUCCAAUAUGACUGCUGUCCUUAUGAGAAGCAGAGAAGAGACACGGAGACAGACCCAGGAAGAAUGCUAUGAGGCAAUGGAGACAGUGAUUAAAGUGCUGUAUCAACAAGCAUUUACUGGCAACACCAGAAGCUAAAAGUAAGGCAUGGAACAGAUUUCUUCCCUGGAGCCUUCAGAAGGAGCAUGGCCCUGCCAAGACCUUGAUUUUGGACCUCUGACUUCCAGAACUUCUCACUCUGGAGUCCCUGCGCUGUGCUUCUGGGGCUUUGGGACUGUCUGGAACACAGCAGGAGGCAGCACCUUGUGGUGGUGAAGAAACUGAAGAAGAGAACUUAUGCUUCUAGAUGUUGCAGAAGCUUAAAUUCCGGUUGCCUGAGGCCUAGUCCAGGGGGUCGUGGCAGCAGCAGGCUGAGACCGAUAAGCCUCACCAGCCUCCUGAAGGGAAAAUGUUGGCUGGGUGCAGUGGCACACACCUGUAAUCCAAGCACUUUGGGAGGCCAAGGCAGGUUGAUUGCUUGAACCCAGGAGUAGGAGACCAGCCUGGGCAACAUAACGAAGUCUCACUCUGUCGCCAGGCUGGAGUGUAGUGGUGUGAUAGCUCGCUGCAACCUCCGCCUCCUGGGUUCAAGUGAUCCUUCUACCUCAGCCUCCCGAGUAGCUGGGACUACAGGCAUACACCACCAUGCCCAGCUAAUUUUUUGUACUUUUAGUAGAGAUGGGGUUUCACCAUGUUGGCCAGAAUGGUCUCAAUCUCCUGACCUCGUGAUUCGCCUGCCUCGGCCUCUCAAAGUGUUGGGAUUACAGGCGUGAGCCACUGUGCCCAGCUUCCUACUUUUUAAAAAACUAAAAAAUAUUUUUAAAUUUAAAUAAAUUAAAAAAUAGGCUUGGGUGCGGUGGCUCACACCUGUUGUCCCAGCUACUCGGGAGGCUGAAGCAGGAGAAUUGCCUGAACCUGGGAGGCAUAGGUUGCGGCAAGCCAAGACUGCGCCACUGCACUCCAGCCUGUGCGACAAAGCGGGGCUCCGU
Molecule: long non-coding RNA, 1093 nt
Filed under: Homo sapiens (human)
Lineage: Eukaryota; Metazoa; Chordata; Mammalia; Primates; Hominidae
Description: HSALNT0187506
Source: RNAcentral